Molecule: long non-coding RNA, 1213 nt
Filed under: Pan troglodytes (chimpanzee)
Lineage: Eukaryota; Metazoa; Chordata; Mammalia; Primates; Hominidae
Description: lincRNA
Source: RNAcentral
GGCUCGGCUCUACCACCAUGGAUCUAGGUGGGCUCAAUGUCAUCACAAGGGUGCUUAAGAGGGAAAGAGGAAGCCAUGAGGGUCAGAGUCAAAGGAAGACUUGAAGAUACUACACUGCGGACUUUACAGAUGAAGGAAGGGGCGAAAACCAAGAAUGUGGGAAGCCUCUAGAAGCUAGAGAAGGCAAGGAAACAAAUUUUCCACUAGAGCCUCCAGAAGGAACACAGCCCUGCUGACCCACUGUAAUGUCUGACCUCUAGAUGUGUAAGGGUAGUAAGACUGAAAGUCUCAGAAAGGCACUGUUACAUUCUUAUUCCACAACUAUGCAACUCGAAACUGGGGUCCUCAGCAGUGAGCGAGGGGUGAGAGAAGACACUGUAUAAACAUGGCACAUCCUCCUGGAAAGUCAACUUUACUCAAAGACUGCAGGCCGUAUUAUGCUAAAUCAAGGAUACGGGGAGAUAAUUAACAUAGCAACUCUGGCAAGUUUAAUAGGUUCUUACACACAGUGACAGCUAGCAGAGUCUAAAAUGCUGACAUUAUGACUUAGAGAUGUGAUAAAGAGAAACAUCUACUGCAUUUUCUGUGACAGUCUCAUGUUGGCCAUGGGGUACUCUCUGCAUCAUGCUAGAAAGAGUUUAUGGUCCCACCUGCAUCCAUGAGAAAGAGAAAACAAAGCUUCAAUUUUAAGUCCUUGGAAAUUCCAUGCCAUUAAGAAACUGCUACUGCCAGCUUUCUGGCGUUAUUUAAAGGGGUAAAAAGUUCAUUACACUAGUGUUCUUAUAAGUGUUGGUUUUAUUUCAUAUUAUUUGAAGAGCUAUUCUGCUUAGUAACAAUAAAUUGCUUGGAAGAUGUCAGACCUGUGUUUGGGUUAGGGGUUGCUUUUAGCUGCAGGUAAGAACACUUACAAAAGAGGGGCUUAAAUGCAACAAAAGGGGAAGGGCUAAGGGCAAAAGGCACAUGACUUCAGCAUCUGUCCCUUAUAGCGACAACCAUAUUUUCUCUAGAUGCUCAUUGAACAGAACUAUUUCUCAUGGUCAAUCACAACCAAAAGACAGCUUGGGAAAUUCAGGAUUUUAACAGGGCACACUUCCUAUGCUGAACAAAAUCUGAGUUCUUAAUUUUAAAAAAGAAGAGAAUGAUAUUAGAGAGAUACAUGUUGCAUAAUAGUUAUUUAACUGUUCGUGUUUAAUAAAGAUCACUUCAUAUCAAA